AGCACUUGUGUGUGGUUUUGUUUAACUUGUAGACAAAUAGGUGCAAAAAAUAAAUCCUCUUUUGCAACCCAGAACUCAUUGUACAGUAUGAGCUUUGAUACAUAAAAAAAGAAACAUG
RNAcentral lists this small nucleolar RNA (118 nucleotides) under Castor canadensis (American beaver). RNAcentral describes it as "Small nucleolar RNA SNORA40 (ENSCCNG00000002483.1)". It matches the Rfam family "Small nucleolar RNA SNORA40". Rfam says of the family: The snoRNA ACA 40 belongs to the H/ACA family of snoRNAs and guides the pseudouridylation of 28S rRNA subunit at position U4565. NB This family has a high threshold value to exclude a large number of closely related sequences that do not appear to have conserved H and ACA boxes, and may be pseudogenes. The record is from Rfam by way of RNAcentral. Lineage: Eukaryota; Metazoa; Chordata; Mammalia; Rodentia; Castoridae.